UACACACCGCCCGUCACACCAUGGGAGUGGGUUGUACCAGAAGUAGUUAGCCUAACCGCAAGGAGGGCGACUACCACGGUGAGAUUCAUGACUGGGGUG
RNAcentral lists this ribosomal RNA (99 nucleotides) under uncultured bacterium. RNAcentral describes it as "partial 16S ribosomal RNA". It matches the Rfam family "Bacterial small subunit ribosomal RNA", at positions 1384 to 1482 of the family's 1533-position model. The record is from RNAcentral.